CAGCAGCCGCGGGAAUACGUAGGGUGCAAGCGUUGUCCGGAAUUAUUGGGCGUAAAGAGCUCGUAGGCGGUUUGUCGCGUCUGCUGUGAAAUCCCGAGGCUCAACCUCGGGCUUGCAGUGGGUACGGGCAGACUAGAGUGCGGUAGGGGAGAUUGGAAUUCCUGGUGUAGCGGUGGAAUGCGCAGAUAUCAGGAGGAACACCGAUGGCGAAGGCAGAUCUCUGGGCCGUAACUGACGCUGAGGAGCGAAAGCGUGGGGAGCGAACAGGAUUAGAUACCCCUGUAGUCCCUGUCUCUUAUAA
RNAcentral lists this ribosomal RNA (301 nucleotides) under uncultured bacterium. Its description in RNAcentral is "partial 16S ribosomal RNA". It matches the Rfam family "Bacterial small subunit ribosomal RNA", at positions 509 to 809 of the family's 1533-position model. The record is from RNAcentral.